This 677-nucleotide long non-coding RNA is filed under the name Dermacentor andersoni. RNAcentral's name for it is "uncharacterized LOC126536751". The record is from RNAcentral. Lineage: Eukaryota; Metazoa; Arthropoda; Arachnida; Ixodida; Ixodidae.
GUUCAUUUGUGUUGCAUGAAUUAUUGCGCUUCCUAUUAGCAAGAAUGUGAAAGCAACAUGCAUCUAUUGCGAUAACAGUUAUACGGACACUCCAAGGGCAUUUUACCAUCGACAUCGCCGUGAUGCUCCGUAUAAACUUCAAGAACGAUAACACCGUCGCCGCACGUCACGUGCUGCGUGUUCGAGUGAAAGCGUGCAAAAUUGACCUGCGAUCCUUAGCUCCCUUCACAUUACUUCACUUGUACGUAGAGUGCAAGGGGAGCCCAUGAUCGCGGUUCAACCUAACACACGCAAGGAGGAAAGUGGCAGGAAGUGCGCCGUCUUCCGUCGACGCUAGGUUUCAGAGAGAGGGGAGGGAGUGGGGGGAGGCGUUGUACUGCGCAUUCUGCAGCCGCGCUUGCCAUAUCUUGCCAGCGAUCUGCGUUGCGGGCAGUCUAGGUGCUUCGACGGCUCAUGCCUUCGUAGGUGCUGCGUUCUCGCCGCUCCGUUUUGGUCACUUCACUAGCUGCAGCUGUUGCGCUUCCUCACUCCAUCGUUUUGACAGUGGGUGUCCGCGCUUAUCUAGUGUGAUGCGUUCAUGUUUGCCUGUGUGCGCUGAAAACACACUUGUUACUUUGGUUAGUAAGCGAAUGCUUGUAACUUUACACGGCCAAUAAAACUACUAUUCUUGCUUUGUA